UCUACGGGUGGCUGCAGUGGGGGAUAUUGGACAAUGGGGGGAACCCUGAUCCAGCGACGCCGCGUGAGUGAAGAAGUAUUUCGGUAUGUAAAGCUCUGUCAGCAGGGAAGAAAAUGACGGUACCUGACUAAGAAGCCCCGGCUAACUCCGUGACAGCAGCCGCGGUAAUACGUAGGGGGCAAGCGUUAUCCGGAUUUACUGGGUGUAAAGGGGGCGUAGACGGUGCGGCAAGUCUGAUGUGAAAGGUCGGGGCCCAACCCCGGGACUACAUUGGAAACUGUUGAACUGGAGUACAGGAGAGGUAAGGGGAAUUCCUAGGGGAGCGGUGAAAUGCGUAGAUAUUAGGAGGAACACCAGUGGCGAAGGCGGCUUACUGGACUGUAACUGACGUUGAGGCUCGAAAGCGUGGGGAGCAAACAGGAUUAGAUACCCGUGUAGUC
RNAcentral lists this ribosomal RNA (440 nucleotides) under uncultured bacterium. RNAcentral's name for it is "partial 16S ribosomal RNA". It matches the Rfam family "Bacterial small subunit ribosomal RNA", at positions 338 to 795 of the family's 1533-position model. The record is from RNAcentral.